Molecule: ribosomal RNA, 442 nt
Filed under: uncultured bacterium
Lineage: Bacteria
Description: partial 16S ribosomal RNA
Rfam family: Bacterial small subunit ribosomal RNA
Source: RNAcentral
CCUACGUGUGGCUGCAGUGGGGAAUAUUGGGCAAUGGGCGCAAGCCUGACCCAGCAACGCCGCGUGAAGGAAGAAGGCUUUCGGGUUGUAAACUUCUUUUGUAAGAGAAGAGUAGAAGACGGUACGUGAAGAAUAAGCCACGGCUAAAUACGGGCAAGCAGCCGCGGUAAUAUGGAGGUGGCAAGCGUUGUCCCGAUUUAGUGGGGGUAAAGGGCGUGUAGCCGGGUUGACAAGUCCGAUGUGAAAUCCUGCGGCUUAACCGCAGAACUGCUUUUGAAACUGUUGAACUUGAGUACUGGAGAGGCAGACGGAAUUCCUAGUGUAGCGGUGAAAUGCGUAGAUAUUAGGAGGAACACCAGUGGCGAAGGCGGUCUGCUGGACAGCAACUGACGGUGAGGCGCGAAAGCGUGGGGAGCAAACAGGAUUAGAUACCCUUGUAGUC